UUUAAAAAUUUUCAAUCUAUCUUCAAUUACUUCAUUUUAUUGCUUAAUACUGUUGUAAAUAAUUUUAUUGCACCAUUCUUGCACAGAGAGACGGGAGUGUUAGGGGGGAGUCGAGUAGAGAACGCGGUAGAGGGACGACAAUGUAAAAGGGGAGAAGUUGAGAUCAUGAAACGUAUAGACAAAGUAUCUUUGCCGCGCAACCUUGGCGCCGCCUUGUGGCUUAUUUCUUAAAUAGUGAGUCAUCUGAAACCUUGAAUACCAUAUGUUAUAUAUUUAAUUGCAAGUGAAUUAAUAAUUUAACAAAAUGGAUAAAAAAGUAUCGAGUCGUGCUUGUUGCGUUGUCGACUGUAAAAACACUCAACGUAAAAAUCCAGAACUGCAAUUUCACCGUUUUCCUGGAUAUCCUCACGAAUUGGAAAGAAAAAAGAAGUGGAUUGUAGCAGUACGUCGACAAAUGAGUGAUGGAAAACCGUGGCAGCCUGGAAAAAAUUCUAGAAUUUGCAGUGCACAUUUUGUUGGGGGAGAAAAAUCUAACAAUCCACUCAAAGAAUCUUAUCACCCAACUAUAUUUCCUCCAAUAUACGGAAAAAAAAGAAAUUCUAAUGCAGGUUUCCGAGCUGAGAGAUUGCGAAAACGACGGGAAAGAAUUUCAUCUUCAAUAGUUAAUACAGCUCCAACAGAUGCUGCAGUUGAUGAUACAAUUGCUGCUGAGAAACAUGAUAUUGGCAUACAAACUGAUCCCGAUUUUGAAUUAAAUAAUGAUUGCAAUGACAUUAACAUUAUGUUCUGUUGGAGUAAUUAUAACGAAACAGCAACACAAACAAAUAUUUUUGUUCAUUCUGGACUGAAUAACAAUAGCAAAAUUGUAAAUCCACAAAAAUCACGUAUAAUUUUUUAAUAAAUAAACAUUAUUAAUACAAACAUGGAUUACGUAUUCAACACAGAAAGUAGGUAAUCAAAAAAUAUUUGAAGAAAAAAUUUUCAAUUUUUGGUAUCACUUCACUCAAAAAUUGUUCAUCUCUUUGAAUAAUAAUGUGCACAUGAUCUUCUAAUGAAUAAACAAAGAAAUGAUAAGAAUUCAAACCAAAUAUAUAUAAGGAAACUUGUACUUGAGUAAAAUAUUUAUCAACUCU
Molecule: long non-coding RNA, 1133 nt
Organism: Dalotia coriaria
Lineage: Eukaryota; Metazoa; Arthropoda; Insecta; Coleoptera; Staphylinidae
Exons: 2
Source: RefSeq, a predicted model, not a curated record